Long non-coding RNA from Ipomoea nil (Japanese morning glory), 151 nucleotides. RefSeq lists it as uncharacterized. The transcript has 3 exons. The record is from RefSeq and is a predicted model, not a curated record. NCBI's taxonomy places the organism in Eukaryota, Viridiplantae, Streptophyta, Magnoliopsida, Solanales, Convolvulaceae.
AUAGGAAGAAGUAACUCCUGACGGGGAAGCCAAUUUGGGAUCCUGUGAGAUGCUGUCCUCACUCCAAGCCACGAAAAAUAACUUCUCAGAAAAUAGCCCAACGAACUGAUGCUAAUUGCUAAGAAGCACCAGACAGCAAAACAAUAGCAAG